Long non-coding RNA from Dromaius novaehollandiae (emu), 3703 nucleotides. RefSeq lists it as uncharacterized. The record is from RefSeq and is a predicted model, not a curated record. The transcript has 3 exons. Lineage: Eukaryota; Metazoa; Chordata; Aves; Casuariiformes; Dromaiidae.
CUUGCCCCCCCCCCCCCCCUUCUUUCUUUGAAAGCCAAAUAUUUGACAAUGAACUUUCUUUUCAGUUUUGGAAGGCUGACAAAUCAACUUUGAAAACAACUUCAUAUAUGUAAAAUGUGAGAUCACUUGCCAAACGUGAUAUUUUGGGGCAUGUUUGGGUCCUGUGCCAUAAGAGUCACAGCAAUAAUAUCCACUCUGUUUAUGGUUUGCCUGUGUGAGCAAAGUGAUCUAGCAUGUGUCUGGUUAGCUACUGUUACUGACUGAUAUCAAACCUACUUUUAUUUUCAAGCUUUUUAGUGAAAGUUUUGCAUGCUUUUUUAUUAUUUUUGCUGAAUGUCAUUGUGCAGUGAGGCUAGUUACUCAGUGCCUCCUGUGACAGGAGAAACAAGUGCUGUAGAUGAAAAAAAUUUCCUCACUGUAUGAUAGGCAUUGCUAGUGAGUAUAUGUUUUGAUCAGCCAAAAAGACAAAUAUAAGAAAACUUGGAGAAGAGGAGGAAAAAGCAUCCUGAAUAAGUAUGUAAAUCGUUCUUUAAAUUGAUGGCAGUGGGUAUAUUUGUGCAUCAUCAUUGUACACCAGCCUAAAAGCGGAGGAAACUUGAAUUACAAAAAUAAUCUUCAUUGAGUGCUCCCUAUUAUGUAUGCUUCAUCUUUCAGCAACAACAACAAAAAAAACAACAAAAUGACUGCUCCAGGAAAAGCCCAUAUCUGGCUGUCUUAAUCCUGACACCAUCCAUGCUUGAUGUGCUGUUGCUGAGACUGACUCUUACCAAAAUUUAUACCACAAACGGCAUCAGAUCAUCAGAUCUCACAUUGGUAUCCUACAGCAAAGUUGAGAACCUAAAUGGAGCACAGGCAUGCUAUCCUGAAAGAGAAAGAAGUGCUUGAAAGCUGUUCUAAACCUUCCCAAAGAGGGCAAAUAGUUUUCUAACCUUCAGCACUGAAGAAAAGACAUUGAAGAGAGAUUAUGCAAGAUGAGAUCAGCUUACGUUCCUACUGUGCUAGGAGCUGUGCAUAAAUUAAGCAGUAGCUGAAGCUCUGAGAGACAUGAGAUACCAUAAGACAUGGCAAAACCACGAGGACUGGGAAAUCUGAAUAUGCAGUCCGGGAAGCACCUGCAGAAUAGUCCAGGUAAGGUAAGUGUUAAAUCUAUGCCAGGGCCAUUUCAGACAUUUCUGUUAGUGUGUUAUUGCCAUGCACAGCUUUCGCUUAGUAAGGGUACAGAGAUGGAUUUUAUGUAAGGUAUUGUUCACAAAUAACUAAAUCACGUUAUAGUUGCCCAUGACUCUUUAUGUGACCUUUAUGGAUACUUUCUACAGAAACUUGCACAAAUAGGUUUGUUUGCUCAGAUGUUUGGGGAAUAGCUACUCUAAGGAACUAUCAGAUAUGAACAGGGGUGUUCAUAUGUGAACAAAGUAUUAUGAUUCAUUUCUGAUUAUUUCUUAGUUGUUGAUCAUUUCCGAGCUGAAUUGCCUCUUUCCCUUUUUGUAAGUAUGUGAAGACUGGCCCACCCAUGAGAAUGUGUUUAAUAAUAAUUUGUUGUUCUUCUAGUUAAACUUUAUCACCCACUUGGAAGCAUAAUCAAUACUGUAUGAAUUUGAAUGAUUAGGUUUUAUAAAUAACAAGAAAUCACUAGGGUGUAGUUUAUGUACAGACUACAAGGUGCAAUGUAUUUAUAUAAGCACUUGAUUUAUAUUUUCAAAUAAAUACACGUCCCUAUAUCAGUGUCAGUUCACAAAAGACUCUAAGCUAGAUGGCCAGUGAGUAUACAUCUGUAUAGUUUCAUUGGAGUUAGGGCAUCGUUUAAGACAGCUGAGGAUUUGACUCUUGUUCAUAAGUGGCCGCAUUGUACUUUUCUGUGCUUCAUGUGUCUGUGGUUUAUGGGCUUGUUCCUAUUAGGUCUAAUUAAAGAAACAAUUUUGGUCAUGAUAGGAGCACAUCAACACUGCUGGACUUCCAUGAAAACGUACAGAGGUCUGUACGCACAUCUUAAGUCUUGUACAUGUAUUAUUGCAGCUUUCUAUGCUAUGUAGACAUUUGUCAAGUGCUCUAUCUCCUUUAUCAUUUUAGUUGUCAUUUUCUAUAUUCAGUGUCCUGUUUGAGAAGCAGUGAUUAGAACUGCACAAAGGAACUGUGCGGAAGCUGCCCACUGAAAAAACGGGCAAAUGCUUUCAAAUAAUCUGAUAAAGAAAACCCGAAGUAUAGAAAUUACAGAAUUUAGCACUUGUCAUAUACGAUGGAUCAAUACUCUCAGAGCAUUUUUAUUCAUUUUAGAGGUUAGUAGCAUAAAAAAGGGGAUUACGUUUAAUGAAAUGUUGAUGCCAGUUAUGUUUCUGCAGUAAUGUUUCUGCAGUAGAAUCAUUAAGGAAAAUCACUGGAGAUCAUGGUUUCUUUUUUAAUGUAUUUCCUUCCAACAAAGUGUGGGGUUUUUUGUUUUGUUUUGUUUUUUUCUAAGACAAAGCAGUAAAACCAUGGUUCAGCAUGCAUUUGCGGGCAAGGAGGAAUAUUUAUUUUUAAUAUUUAGUGACAUUAUCUCAUAUGUGCUGUAAUAUUUUGAUACACAUCUUUUUGGCCAAGGUUGUGGGCCUACAUAGUUAAUUCCUGUAGUGGUCCUUUCUUUUAGCUCUAGGAAUUUUUCUAGGAAAAAGGUAUACUAAGUGGUUUAGUAUCUAAGUUAAUAUUUUUUGGCUUACAUUUCAUUGUAACUGAUAAUUUCCUACGCCAUUGUGUAUGUUGAAGCAGCAAUGACUUUUUGAAAAUUACAGCAGUGGAGAAGCAGCGUAAAUAAUCUCAAAUACUUUUGACUUCUGACCACUGAGUCUCAUGUUGCCAGACUGCUUACUGUAACGAUUGCUAUUAUAACAAUACUGUCAUUAAAAUAAUGUGCUCUGGCAUGUAAUUGGAUGUCAUUACUCCACCUGUGAAUACUGGAAGUCUUUUCCUGAGUUUAGAUCAUCUUACACACCAUUUCUCCUUGCAUACUCUUAUCUCCUCCCUUUUGUCACCUUUGCAGUCUGUCCGGCUGUCCCUAUGCUAGUCUCAGUGCUUCACAAGCAAGUACAUCCACACAGAAAUCUUCCACAGAUUCUGCUGCCAGAAGUGGCAAAGGCUUCACCAGUCACAUAUUGUAUUCUGCAUUUCAGUGGUGUGGAGCACAUCAGACAGGAAGGGACUUAUUGCAGCAAAUGGUCAGCUAUUCCUGCUUUCGUAAGCGGAGUGUUGUUGCCGCCAAGAGAAAGGGUAGCCGGAAGGCUAGGGGAAACAGAACACCACAGAGGCAUGUCUCUACUCCCAAGUAUUUCUCUCUCAUCUUGUUAUUGAAAACAGGAAAGAGAGGAUGUGGAAAAUAUCAAGGUCCUAUUGGGGAAAAGAAAAAAAUUAAGGUGAUGGAGGGGAAUAGAAGAGGAGAAGGCCCAAGGAUGGAUCUGAAAAUAAGAAAAAGGGGGCUUGUGGUUAGGUAGAGGAGAGCCAAAAAAAAAAAGUAGAAUUAGACAGAACGGGGAGAUGCUGGCUAUCUGAAGAGGUUAUGACAGAACUAGACAAAAUGCAAGAGAAGAAAAAUGAGAGGAAAAAGACAAAAGGAGCUAAGAACUUUUGGCUUUAUAAAGUAAAACAUUUUUGAAGAAAAGUGAAACUAAUCUAAAUGAGAGUGGAGGAAGCAUUAGGCACAAAUGCCAAAAAUUAAAAACAGAGGGGAAAAAGGAAA